RNAcentral lists this unclassified non-coding RNA (1390 nucleotides) under Leishmania donovani. RNAcentral describes it as "gene:LdHU3.28.4110(CDS-product:hypothetical_prote in_conserved)". The record is from RNAcentral. Lineage: Eukaryota; Euglenozoa; Kinetoplastea; Trypanosomatida; Trypanosomatidae.
UCGCUGCUUACCUCUGCGCGGUUUCUCUUCGCCCUACGCCGCCUUUCUCCCAUCCACACGUGUCGUGCUCAACCUGGCAGUGGCGAGCGGCGAAGGAGUGGACGGCUGCCCCGCGCUGUCAUUGCAGCCGCAUCAGCGAGACGGAAAACAAAUACAGCAUAGAGGAAUACAUCGUAAAGGGAUUGCGUGCACAGACCCCUUCAGCAGCCGCAAUCUGCACACACACGCACGUGCACGACAAGUCCCGUCUAGGCAUCCGGCCAUGGCCCAGACGGUUGACCAAGUACUGUUGGAGUGGCUCGAGGCAGCACCACAGGUGCCUCGCCGGGACCGGCAGACGCUGCUGCUCAAAGAACUCAUGUCCCUCCAUGCACUGCAAGCCAUUCGCUUGAACGCGGGAGAGUCAGGCAAGGAGACCGAGCAGCGUAGCUGGAAGGACAAUCACACGCGGGCCGCGGCGAAGGUGAGCGCGGCACUGCGCCGUGCGCUCCUUGAUACCGUAGACACUGAUGCUGCACGCCGGCUCGCAGAGUCGCUGUCCGUGUCCACCGACGUAGACCUGCUGUAUGGGGCCCUCGACACUCACUGCAUCAUGUUGCUCCACGUCGCCGGAGAUGGUCCGCGUCGACCGGCACGGAAGCUGCGCGGUGUGGAAGACAUCAUCAACGAGCUCAGUGAAUUUCAGGAGUCGGUGCUGCUUCUUCGCGUCGACCUCACCUCGUCCGCGCAAAGUCCCCCCGCAACCUCUUCGUCGCCCACCCUAGUUGGAGGUGUGUCGCAGGUGAAGAGCUGGGUGGAGCAGUGCACCGCAGACCUCGAGAUCGGCACCCAGGUGACCUACUACGCCGACGCUGAAUGCUCGCACGCCUUCUUCGACAUACGAAGCGUGUUUGUUUUCUCUGCCGACAGCGCCAAGGUGGAGCGCAUUUCGAGAGAGUUGUUGCCCCGUGGCGGCCACGAUCUCAACGAUGUGCUGCGCGGCGUCCGCUUCGGUGGGUUUUCUGUGGGGUGACGCACGGACAGGCAGACGGGCGGCGUUGUCACUUUUCUCGCCGUUGAGGCUUGAGCCUGUGAAUCACUGUGAAAAGCGAUGCCUGCCUCUGUGUGCGCGCGCGCGUUUAAGUGUCGAUUAGAGAAAGGCGCAGACACUCAGGCCGACAGACAGACAGACUUUGGCGUGUUGGAUCUCAUCUCCUGCCCUCUGUCUCUCUGCUAUGGCGCCUUGCCCUGCUUGACCUUGCGCAUGCCGCUUCUUUUGGUGCUCACCCAGAGGCAUAUCAGAGGCCUCUCCGAGGCACAGCAGCGACGCGUCCACUCCCUUGCCCCUUUCCUUUGCUGCACCACCGCUUCUAUGGCUGCUGUCUGUGCACAAGGCCUUAGGAGGGCUGCC